Non-coding RNA from Triticum aestivum (bread wheat), 125 nucleotides. The record is from Rfam. Lineage: Eukaryota; Viridiplantae; Streptophyta; Magnoliopsida; Poales; Poaceae.
UACGUACUCCCUCCGUCUGAAAAUACUUGUCAGAGAGAUGGAUGUAUCUAGACAUAGUAUAGUUCUAGAUACAUUCAUGUUUAUGCAUUUCUGCGACAAGUAAUUUCGGACGGAGGGAGUACGUA